UUGCGCCUGCGGCGGACCCGGCACGGACUGUUUUUCGGCUUCGCAGGCAGCCUGUCUGUGUACGGUCUUGUACAUCCCGUAAUUUUACGGGCUUUAAUGCUUUCU
This 105-nucleotide small RNA is filed under the name bovine gut metagenome. RNAcentral's name for it is "RT-5 RNA". It matches the Rfam family "RT-5 RNA". Rfam says of the family: Clostridium (Firmicutes). Environment (Cow rumen (57)) The record is from RNAcentral.